GCUAGAAUAGUUUAAUAAUCAAAAGCACUGCAUUCAGAAUCAGAGAACCUGGGUUCAAAUCCUAGCUCUACCA
Molecule: transfer RNA, 73 nt
Filed under: Equus asinus (donkey)
Lineage: Eukaryota; Metazoa; Chordata; Mammalia; Perissodactyla; Equidae
Also listed under: 1 other name
Rfam family: tRNA
About the family: Transfer RNA (tRNA) molecules are approximately 80 nucleotides in length. Their secondary structure includes four short double-helical elements and three loops (D, anti-codon, and T loops).
Source: Rfam by way of RNAcentral